UACGAAGGGGGCUAGCGUUGUUCGGAUUUACUGGGCGUAAAGCGCACGUAGGCGGAUCGUUAAGUCGGGGGUGAAAUCCUGGAGCUCAACUCCAGAACUGCCUUCGAUACUGGCGAUCUUGAGUCCGGAAGAGGUGAGUGUAACUCCUAGUGUAGAGGUGGAAUUCGUAGAUAUUAGGAAGAACACCAGUGGCGAAGGCGGCUCACUGGUCCGGUACUGACGCUGAGGUGCGAAAGCGUGGGGAGCAAACAGG
RNAcentral lists this ribosomal RNA (253 nucleotides) under uncultured bacterium. RNAcentral's name for it is "partial 16S ribosomal RNA". It matches the Rfam family "Bacterial small subunit ribosomal RNA", at positions 524 to 776 of the family's 1533-position model. The record is from RNAcentral.